Molecule: small nuclear RNA, 128 nt
Organism: Gracilinanus agilis (Agile Gracile Mouse Opossum)
Lineage: Eukaryota; Metazoa; Chordata; Mammalia; Didelphimorphia; Didelphidae
Source: RefSeq, a predicted model, not a curated record
GUGUUGUAUGAAGGUAGAGAAAAGCAGCACAACCCUUGAUGGGAAUGGAAGACGUCCUCGUGGCCUUUAUAACACACAUCUAGUUAUGGCAUUACCACCUACUCUGUGGCAUCAAACCAUGUUUUUAG